GAUGAAGAAAAAAGUCCAUCUCAACACACACCCACGAUCCCCACCGGCCCAUCCCCUCCUGAUCCCCACCUUCCCCAUAGCGCUGCCGGUUCCUGAUCUGCCGCCCUCCAUCGUGCUCUUCAGGCCACCGGAGCCGCCGCCCACCAUCAUGUGCUGCCGGCCACGGGAGCCACCGCCCACACCCAUGCCCAUUGCCAUCUGCUGGUCGCCGCCAUCCCUAGAUCCCCUUGCGCCGCCGGGCUGUGGAUCCCCGAACACCGCCUCCAGGCAGUGGAGCCCCGUGCGCCGCCGCGGACCUCCACAUCCAUCCUCCGCCAUGGAUCCCAGGUUCCCCGCCGCCCCUAUCUGCCACCGCCGUGGCCCCCAGCUUCCCGGCGCACCAUCCACUUCCGCCAUUGCCAUGCAUCGCUGCCGCCCGAUAUGAUGAGGCGCGGCCGCGUCCCAAGCCACUGCCUAGCUCUAGCAUCUCCCCGUGUCCACGCCACCGGACGGUGAGGGAGACCUAACCGGCCGCCCGCGUUCUGCUGUCCUUCUACGACCUGUUAGUUACCAUGUCAAAACCGCACGGUUGGUUGAGGUUCGUUCGGUGGCCUAGUUUGCUUGCCUCUGUCACCUUGAGAUGUUGGCUGCUGCUGCUAACUAAGGUUUGUUUACUGUUGCUUUUCUGUACGGCACACAUCGUCUAACAAGUAACAGGUGACAUGGCGAGGUUAUCUGCUGGCUGGCUCUACUCUUCUGAAGAUGGAGAUUAGUAGUAUGGGUACACAUUGUUCUGCUAUCCUUCUACGACCCUGCCUCCACAGGGCUCGGCCUGGAGCAACUUCUCUGAAUUUCCCAACGUGGCCGCAUCACUUCUGAGACCCCGCGCGCCUUGACUUUCCCAACCUCGUCCAUUCUGCCUCCGUUGUACCCUAUUUUUUUGUGAAGGACGCUCUCCCCUAUUAGUUGAACUUCUCGCGAGGGCCGCCUUGACCUUUUCUGGGACGGUUAGAGCAUACGACAACCACAAAAAUCGUCAUCGACUGAGAGAUGGAGCACCUAAUUUUCCAGUUCCUGGAAAUCUUAUGGAGUUUGUUUCUCGAUUAACUUGCGUGGACCUUCAAUCGUUCACCCUAAACCUACCACCUCCUGAGCCUGAAUGGAAAAUGUCUCAGUGCAGUGUGUGUAGUACCAAGAAAUUCUACCAUGGGUCUACGUCAAGUUCAUAUUUUUGUGUUCAGUAAAAAAAUCUUAGUGCGAGUGUGUGCAGUACCUGGAAGUUCUACUACAGGUCUACGCCAAGUUCAAUGACAUUGCCGCCGGCAAAAUGUUCAGACAAUGUGGGUGACUAUAUCGUGUGUUCAAAGCAAUUUGUUUCAGCAAGGCCGAAUUCAUCGUGUGUUCUUGGAUCGAAGUUCACAUAAAGAAAAUGGCAGAAGGUCAAUUUUGAAUGUGAUCCCACCUUGUAACAUAUGCUCAUACGCAUGCGGUGAUUCGGAAAUGCUGCCGAGGACAGAGAGUGGAGACGUCAAGGAGCCACUGCGUGAGCUAGUUACAUCACGAUUUGGACCAUGUUCCCAACCUGCAUGCGAUACAUUCCUUAGCUAUCAGCAGCCACAUGUUUACGUGGUUGACAUCAACAAAAACUUCAGUUUUUUGUGGAUGUUCUGUAUUAACAUGUUUUAUUUGUACGUUCUAGAAUAACUACCGAUGUUAUGUCAUUGCUGCUCAAUUUCUAGUC
Molecule: long non-coding RNA, 1720 nt
Organism: Triticum dicoccoides
Lineage: Eukaryota; Viridiplantae; Streptophyta; Magnoliopsida; Poales; Poaceae
Exons: 2
Source: RefSeq, a predicted model, not a curated record